CGUCGGGCGUCUGUUCACGGGAGAUUGCAUCUGAACUGCUAAUCUUGAGUAUAGGAUGGGAGAAUGGCCCACUUCUGGUGGAGCGGUGAAAUGCGUAGAUAUCAGAAGGAACGCCGGCGGCGAAAGCGAUUCUCUGGCCUAUUACUGACACUCAGUGUGCGAAAGCUAGGGGAGCAAACGGGAUUAGAUACCCCGGUAGUCCUAGCCGUAAACGAUGGGCACUAAGUAGAGGGGUUUUA
This 239-nucleotide ribosomal RNA is filed under the name Candidatus Scalindua brodae. RNAcentral describes it as "partial 16S ribosomal RNA". It matches the Rfam family "Bacterial small subunit ribosomal RNA", at positions 602 to 833 of the family's 1533-position model. The record is from RNAcentral. Lineage: Bacteria; Pseudomonadati; Planctomycetota; Candidatus Brocadiia; Candidatus Brocadiales; Candidatus Scalinduaceae.